GGCAGCGGGAAGUAGUUUACUACUUCGCCGGCGAGCGGCGGACGGGUGAGUAAUGUCUGGGGAUCUGCCUGAUGGAGGGGGAUAACUACUGGAAACGGUAGCUAAUACCGCAUGACCUCGUAAGAGCAAAGUGGGGGACCUUCGGGCCUCACGCCAUCGGAUGAACCCAGAUGGGAUUAGCUAGUAGGUGGGGUAAUGGCUCACCUAGGCGACGAUCCCUAGCUGGUCUGAGAGGAUGACCAGCCACACUGGAACUGAGACACGGUCCAGACUCCUACGGGAGGCAGCAGUGGGGAAUAUUGCACAAUGGGCGCAAGCCUGAUGCAGCCAUGCCGCGUGUGUGAAGAAGGCCUUCGGGUUGUAAAGCACUUUCAG
Molecule: ribosomal RNA, 375 nt
Filed under: Yersinia bercovieri
Lineage: Bacteria; Pseudomonadati; Pseudomonadota; Gammaproteobacteria; Enterobacterales; Yersiniaceae
Description: bacterial SSU rRNA
Rfam family: Bacterial small subunit ribosomal RNA
Source: RNAcentral